GACAAACGCUGGCGGCAUGCCUAACACAUGCAAGUCGAACGGACAGAACAGGGAAGCUUUUCGGAGUGGAACUGGACAGUUAGUGGCGGAUGGGUGAGUAACGCGUGGACAACCUACCUUGUAAAGGGGAAUAACCUCGAGAAAUCGAAGCUAAUACCCCAUAAUAACCUUGCUUCGCAUGAAGUAAGGAGGAAAGGCGGCCUUAGCGCUGUCGAUACAAGCUGGGUCCGCGUCUGAUUAGCUAGUUGGUGAGGUAAAGGCUCACCAAGGCGACGAUCAGUAGCCGGCCUGAGAGGGUGAACGGCCACAUUGGGACUGAGACACGGCCCAAACUCCUGCGGGAGGCAGCAGUGGGGAAUCUUCCGCAAUGGGCGAAAGCCUGACGGAGCAAUGCCGCGUGAGUGAAGAAGGCCUUCGGGUUGUAAAACUCUGUCCUUAUCGAAGAGAGAGUGUUGUAGUAACUGACAAUACUAGGACGGUAGAUGAGGAGGAAGCCCCGGCUAACUAUGUG
This 511-nucleotide ribosomal RNA is filed under the name uncultured bacterium. Its description in RNAcentral is "partial 16S ribosomal RNA". It matches the Rfam family "Bacterial small subunit ribosomal RNA", at positions 28 to 507 of the family's 1533-position model. The record is from RNAcentral.